UACCUGUAUACUAUGAUGACCUACUGCA
RNAcentral lists this non-coding RNA (28 nucleotides) under Bombyx mori (domestic silkworm). Lineage: Eukaryota; Metazoa; Arthropoda; Insecta; Lepidoptera; Bombycidae. The record is from RNAcentral.